Molecule: ribosomal RNA, 193 nt
Filed under: uncultured Lactobacillus sp.
Lineage: Bacteria; Bacillati; Bacillota; Bacilli; Lactobacillales; Lactobacillaceae
Description: partial 16S ribosomal RNA
Rfam family: Bacterial small subunit ribosomal RNA
Source: RNAcentral
CCUACGGGAGGCAGCAGUAGGGAAUCUUCCACAAUGGGCGCAAGCCUGAUGGAGCGACACCGCGUGAGUGAAGAAGGUUUUCGGAUCGUAAAGCUCUGUUGUUGGUGAAGAAGGAUAGAGGUAGUAACUGGCCUUUAUUUGACGGUAAUCAACCAGAAAGUCACGGCUACUACGUGCCAGCAGCCGCGGUAAU